Salmo salar (Atlantic salmon) is the source of this 429-nucleotide non-coding RNA. NCBI's taxonomy places the organism in Eukaryota, Metazoa, Chordata, Actinopteri, Salmoniformes, Salmonidae. The record is from RefSeq and is a predicted model, not a curated record.
UGUCCAACGAUAGCUGCUCCAACAUCCCAGACAUUGCCCCUGAAGUGUCGUAUGGGUUCUAGACUGUGCAAGGAUGGGAAAGAGUGUGUCCUGCAAAGCCAUGUUUGUGAUGGAGAGGUGGACUGUAAGGAUGGAUCAGAUGAACAGGACUGUGGUGGAUCUCCAAUUCCACUUACUACCGCUUAUUUGGCUCCAACUGCAACCAUUCCAGAUAAUCUUCCUGCUCAGCCAGUCUGUACCAGUCCAUCAGUGAUGUGUCGGGGCUCAACUUUGUGCAUCUCCCAAACUCAGCUGUGUGACACAUUGAGAGACUGCCCUGAUGGUUUUGAUGAGGAGUCCUGCAUUACUAAAUGUCCAAACAGAGGUGAGUUCCGGUGUAAGGACAGGAGGAAAUGUAUUGAGAGGAGUCUGGUUUGUGAUGGACGUUCU